This 253-nucleotide ribosomal RNA is filed under the name uncultured bacterium. RNAcentral describes it as "partial 16S ribosomal RNA". It matches the Rfam family "Bacterial small subunit ribosomal RNA", at positions 524 to 776 of the family's 1533-position model. The record is from RNAcentral.
UACGUAGGCAGCAAGCGUUGUUCGGAAUUACUGGGCGUAAAGGGUGUGUAGGCGGUUCUUUAAGUUUGGCGUGAAAUCUUCCGGCUCAACCGGGAGGGUGCGCCGAAUACUGAGGGACUAGAGUGUGGGAGAGGAAAGUGGAAUUCCUGGUGUAGCGGUGAAAUGCGUAGAUAUCAGGAGGAACACCGGUGGUGUAGACGGCUUUCUGGACCAUAACUGACGCUGAGACACGAAAGCGUGGGUAGCAAACAGG